CUUCCGGUUGAUCCUGCCGGACCCGACUGCUAUCAGAGUGGGACUAAGCCAUGCGAGUCAACGUAGCAAUACGUGGCAUACGGCUCAGUAACACGUAGUCAACAUGCCCAGGGGACGAGGAUAACCUCGGGAAACUGAGGAUAAACCUCGAUAGGCCAUGAUUUCUGGAAUGAUUCUUGGCUCAAACCUAUAUGGCCCCUGGAUUGGACUGCGGCCGAUCAGGCUGUUGGUGAGGUAAUGGCCCACCAAACCUAUUACCGGUACGGGCUCUGAGAGGAGGAGCCCGGAGAUGGGCACUGAGACAAGGGCCCAGGCCCUAUGGGGCGCAGCAGGCGCGAAACCUCUGCAAUAGGCGAAAGCUUGACAGGGUUACUCUGAGUGAUUUCCGCUAAGGGAAUCUUUUGGCACCUCUAAAAAUGGUGCAGAAUAAGGGGUGGGCAAGUCUGGUGUCAGCCGCCGCGGUAAUACCAGCACCCCGAGUGGUCGGGACGAUUAUUGGGCCUAAAGCAUCCGUAGCCGGUCCUGCAAGUCUUCCGUUAAAUCCAGCUGCUCAACAGAUGGGCUGCGGGAGAUACUACAGGGCUAGGAGGCGGGAGAGGCAAGCGGUACUUUAUGGGUAGGGGUAAAAUCCGCUGAUCCAUAGAAGACCACCAGUGGCGAAGGCGGCUUGCCAGAACGCGCUCGACGGUGAGGGAUGAAAGCUGGGGGAGCAAACCGGAUUAGAUACCCGGGUAGUCCCAGCUGUAAACGAUGCAGACUCGGUGAUGGGUUGGCCUCGCGCCUGCCCAGUGCCGCAGGGAAGCCGUUAAGUCUGCCGCCUGGGGAGUACGGUCGCAAGACUGAAACUUAAAGGAAUUGGCGGGGGAGCA
RNAcentral lists this ribosomal RNA (869 nucleotides) under uncultured archaeon. RNAcentral's name for it is "bacterial SSU rRNA". It matches the Rfam family "Archaeal small subunit ribosomal RNA", at positions 1 to 878 of the family's 1478-position model. The record is from RNAcentral.